UCUCUGGUGUCCUUGUGGUAAAGAAUCUGUCUGCAAUACAGGAGACCCAGGUUUGAUCCCUGGGUUGGGAA
This 71-nucleotide transfer RNA is filed under the name Ovis aries (sheep). It matches the Rfam family "tRNA". From Rfam's summary of the family: Transfer RNA (tRNA) molecules are approximately 80 nucleotides in length. Lineage: Eukaryota; Metazoa; Chordata; Mammalia; Artiodactyla; Bovidae. The record is from Rfam by way of RNAcentral.